This 465-nucleotide ribosomal RNA is filed under the name uncultured bacterium. Its description in RNAcentral is "partial 16S ribosomal RNA". It matches the Rfam family "Bacterial small subunit ribosomal RNA", at positions 338 to 795 of the family's 1533-position model. The record is from RNAcentral.
CCUACGGGAGGCAGCAGUGGGGAAUUUUGCGCAAUGCUCGUAAGAGUGACGCAGCGACGCCGCGUGAAUGACGAAGGCCUUCGGGUCGUAAAGUUCUUUCGACAGGGAAGAAAAUGCCUAUAAGUAACUGUGUAUGUAUUGACGGUACCUGUAUAAGCAGCCCCGGCUAACUCCGUGCCAGCAGCCGCGGUAAUACGGAGGGGGCGAGCGUUGUUCGGAGUGACUGGGCGUAAAGAGCACGUAGGCGGUGUUGUAAGUCAUUAGUCAAAGACUAGAGCUCAACUUUAGUAAGGCUAGUGAUACUAUAAUACUAGAGUAUCAGAGAGGAUUGCAGAAUUCCUGGUGUAGCGGUGAAAUGCGUAGAUAUCACGAGGAACCCCGAUUGCGAAGGCAGCCUGCCGGGGUGCGACUGACGCUGAGGCUCGAAGGUGCGGGUAUCAAACAGGAUUAGAUACCCCUGUAGUC